RNAcentral lists this ribosomal RNA (497 nucleotides) under uncultured bacterium. Its description in RNAcentral is "partial 16S ribosomal RNA". It matches the Rfam family "Bacterial small subunit ribosomal RNA", at positions 28 to 507 of the family's 1533-position model. The record is from RNAcentral.
GAUGAACGCUGGCGGCGUGCCUAAUACAUGCAAGUCGAGCGAACAGACGAGGAGCUUGCUCCUCUGACGUUAGCGGCGGACGGGUGAGUAACACGUGGAUAACCUACCUAUAAGACUGGGAUAACUUCGGGAAACCGGAGCUAAUACCGGAUAAUAUAUUGAACCGCAUGGUUCAAUAGUGAAAGACGGUUUUGCUGUCACUUAUAGAUGGAUCCGCGCCGCAUUAGCUAGUUGGUAAGGUAACGGCUUACCAAGGCAACGAUGCGUAGCCGACCUGAGGGGGUGAUCGGCCACACUGGAACUGAGACACGGUCCAGACUCCUACGGGAGGCAGCAGUAGGGAAUCUUCCGCAAUGGGCGAAAGCUUGACGGAGCAACGCCGCGUGAGUGAAGAAGGUCUUCGGAUCGUAAAACUCUGUUAUUAGGGAAGAACAAAUGUGUAAGUAACUAUGCACGUCUUGACGGUACCUAAUCAGAAAGCCACGGCUAACUACGUG